UUCUUUUCUACUUACCAGUCUCGUAAGUCUCAAAGAGAGUGGUUGAUUAUCCAAGGCCUCCAUCACUUCUGAAGAUACACUCUAAAUUCAAGCAUGUGGCAUUUCAUCAUGAAUUAGUGCUACCACCAGCCAAAAAACAUAUUGUUCAAUGACAAUAUACCUUUAAAACAUCUGCAGCCGCAUCUGUUCGCUCCUUGUUCCAGAGAUUCAACAUGAGCACAGUUAAGUGA
This 230-nucleotide unclassified non-coding RNA is filed under the name Hevea brasiliensis (rubber tree). The record is from RNAcentral. Lineage: Eukaryota; Viridiplantae; Streptophyta; Magnoliopsida; Malpighiales; Euphorbiaceae.